Ictalurus punctatus (channel catfish) is the source of this 1259-nucleotide long non-coding RNA. The record is from Ensembl. Lineage: Eukaryota; Metazoa; Chordata; Actinopteri; Siluriformes; Ictaluridae.
AUGGAGGCAAUCAGCCUGUGGCACUGCUGAGGUGUUCUGGAAGCCCAGGUUGCUUUGAUAGCGGCCUUCAGCUCGUCUGUAUUGUUGGUCUGGUGUCUCUCAUAGAUUCUCUAAGGGGUUCAGGUCAGGCGAGUCGGCUGGCCAAUCAAGCACAGUAAUACCAUGGUCAGAAAACCAGUUACUAGUAGUUUUGGCACUGUGGGCAGGUGCAAUUCCUGCUGGAAAAAGAAAUCUCCAUAAAGCUUGUCAGCAGAUGGAAGCAUGAAGUGCUCUAAAGUCUCCUGGUAGACGCUGCACUGACUUGACAUUGAAACUUUACACUGGACUUCAAGCAACUUGGAUUCUGUGCCUGUCCGCUCUUCCUCCAGACUCUGGGACCUUGAUUUCCAAAUGAAAUGCAAAUUUUACUUUCAUCUUCCCCAUGAUUGUGGUUGUGUGUACUGAACCAGAAUGAGAGAUUAAAGACUCAGGAAACCUUUGCAGGUGUUUUGAGUUAAUUAGCUGAUUAGAGCUCUUCUCAGGUCCACAUUUCUGUAUUAUAAAUUCUUUAUUCUAAUAUUUUGAGAUACUGGAUUUUUGAUUUCCAUGAGCUGUAAGCUGUAAUCAUCAAGAUUAAAACAAAAAAAGGCUUAAAAUAUUUCACUUUAUGUUUAAUGAAUCUAGAAUACAUUUUACUGGGGGGAAAAAUUAACUUUUCCACGAUAUUCUAAUUUUCUGUGAUGCGUGUGUGUGUGUGUGUGUGUAGCUUGUAACAGCUGUGGUGUGGAACUGCACACUGAAUCUUGUACUUGGACAGUGACAGUAAAGGUAUAUGUAUAUUCAAGUUAUGCUGGUGUGUGUGUGUGUGUUUUGACAUUAAAUUUACAGCAUCCAGCAGAAUCCCUUAUCAAGAGUGACUUACAGAAGUGCUUUAUAGUCUCCAACAGAAACAUAUCCUCUUUCUAGUUCAGGGUCCAAGAAUACCAUCAAGGUAAAAUCCCAUCAGAGAGAGGUUUGUACAACAACAAAAAACACACACAAGCCUAGGGAUUUUCUGUAAAAGUCAUAGGCCUCAUUGCAGGACAGCUGAUUUCUGUUUUAUCGUAAGGUCAUUACUCAUGAGCAACCUCUCUGGGUCCUUCACAUUCAUCACAGCUGAACACGAAACUUAUUCACCAAACAACUGUGCAUAUUAAUGAGCCCUUAAACUAUUCAUCUUAUUGCUGUGAAUUAAUUCACGUCACACUGAGUUAUGAUUCUUUCUUCUCAGUCUAGUUUUU